AUUGAACGCUGGCGGCAGGCCUAACACAUGCAAGUCGAGCGAGCGGCGGACGGGUGAGUAAUGUAUGGGGACUGCCCGAUAGAGGGGGAUAACUACUGGAAACGGUAGCUAAUACCGCAUACUAUCGGAUAACCCAGAUGGGAUUAGCUAGUAGGGGAGGUAAUGGCUCACCUAGGCGACGAUCCCUAGCUGGUCUGAGAGGAUGAUCAGCCACACGGGGACGGAGACACGGCCCAGAAUCCUACGGAGGCAGAAGUGGGGAAUAUUGCACAAGGGGGGCAAGCCUGGUGCAGCCAUGCCGCGUGUAUGAAGAGGGCCCUAGGGUUGUAAAGUACUUUCAGUCGGGAGGCGUUACCGACAGAAGAAGCACCGGCUAACUCCGUGCCAGCAGCCGCGGUAAUAC
RNAcentral lists this ribosomal RNA (403 nucleotides) under uncultured bacterium. Its description in RNAcentral is "partial 16S ribosomal RNA". It matches the Rfam family "Bacterial small subunit ribosomal RNA", at positions 29 to 526 of the family's 1533-position model. The record is from RNAcentral.